GCAAGGAAGAGGAAGAGAGAGAGAGGUCCUAAGAGCAAUGGGAAUGAGAACAUAGAGGAAAAACUAACUUAUCGGGUCUUCACCUCUUCCGUUGAGGUGGAAAUCCCAUUUGGUAUUUCCCAAUGCCUCUCAUUCCUAUCGUUCUUAAGCACCUCCUUCCUCUUGCUUUUCUUU
Molecule: non-coding RNA, 174 nt
Organism: Triticum aestivum (bread wheat)
Lineage: Eukaryota; Viridiplantae; Streptophyta; Magnoliopsida; Poales; Poaceae
Source: Rfam